UACGUAGGGCGCGAGCGUUGUCCGGAAUUAUUGGGCGUAAAGGGCUCGUAGGCGGUUUGUCACGUCAGGAGUGAAAACUCGGGGCUCAACCCCGAGCCUGCUUCUGAUACGGGCAGACUAGAGGUAUGCAGGGGAGAACGGAAUUCCUGGUGUAGCGGUGAAAUGCGCAGAUAUCAGGAGGAACACCGGUGGCGAAGGCGGUUCUCUGGGCAUUACCUGACGCUGAGGAGCGAAAGUGUGGGGAGCGAACAGG
This 253-nucleotide ribosomal RNA is filed under the name uncultured bacterium. Its description in RNAcentral is "partial 16S ribosomal RNA". It matches the Rfam family "Bacterial small subunit ribosomal RNA", at positions 524 to 776 of the family's 1533-position model. The record is from RNAcentral.